This 74-nucleotide transfer RNA is filed under the name Streptomyces mutabilis. Lineage: Bacteria; Bacillati; Actinomycetota; Actinomycetes; Kitasatosporales; Streptomycetaceae. The record is from RNAcentral.
UCCUCGGCCCGCAUCCGCGCUUCGACCACCUCCGGGUCGGGGUCGGCGACGCGCACCGGGAUGGGCCCGCCCUC